AUCUGGUAGCCUUCGGCUGCCCGAGUUGUAAUCUAGAGAAGUGUUUUCCGUGCCGGCCCAUGUACAAGUCCCUUGGAACAGGGCGUCAUAGAGGGUGAGAAUCCCGUCCUUGACAUGGACCCCCGGUGCUUUGUGAUACACUUUCAACGAGUCGAGUUGUUUGGGAAUGCAGCUCAAAAUGGGUGGUGAAUUCCAUCUAAAGCUAAAUAUUGGCGAGAGACCGAUAGCGAACAAGUACCGUGAGGGAAAGAUGAAAAGCACUUUGGAAAGAGAGUUAAACAGUACGUGAAAUUGUUGAAAGGGAAACGAUUGAAGUCAGUCAUGCUCUUUGGAUUCAGCCGUUCUGCGGUGUAUUUCCAUUGAGUGGGGUCAACAUCAGUUUUGACCGCUGGAUAAAGGCACUAGGAAGGUAGCACUCUCGGGUGAACUUAUAGCCUAGCGUCAUAUACAGUGGUUGGGACUGAGGAACGCAGCAUGCCUUUAUGGCCGGGAUUCGUCCACGUACAUGCUUAGGAUGUUGACAUAAUGGCUUUAAACGACCCGUCUUG
RNAcentral lists this ribosomal RNA (548 nucleotides) under Naganishia uzbekistanensis. Its description in RNAcentral is "eukaryotic LSU rRNA". It matches the Rfam family "Eukaryotic large subunit ribosomal RNA", at positions 120 to 656 of the family's 3401-position model. Lineage: Eukaryota; Fungi; Basidiomycota; Tremellomycetes; Filobasidiales; Filobasidiaceae. The record is from RNAcentral.